This 429-nucleotide ribosomal RNA is filed under the name Chloroflexota bacterium. RNAcentral's name for it is "Chloroflexi bacterium partial 16S ribosomal RNA". It matches the Rfam family "Bacterial small subunit ribosomal RNA", at positions 355 to 776 of the family's 1533-position model. Lineage: Bacteria; Bacillati; Chloroflexota. The record is from RNAcentral.
UGGGGAAUAUUGCACAAUGGGCGCAAGCCUGAUGCAGCCAUGCCGCGUGUAUGAAGAAGGCCUUCGGGUUGUAAAGUACUUUCAGCGGGGAGGAAGGGAGUAAAGUUAAUACCUUUGCUCAUUGACGUUACCCGCAGAAGAAGCACCGGCUAACUCCGUGCCAGCAGCCGCGGUAAUACGGAGGGUGCAAGCGUUAAUCGGAAUUACUGGGCGUAAAGCGCACGCAGGCGGUUUGUUAAGUCAGAUGUGAAAUCCCCGGGCUCAACCUGGGAACUGCAUCUGAUACUGGCAAGCUUGAGUCUCGUAGAGGGGGGUAGAAUUCCAGGUGUAGCGGUGAAAUGCGUAGAGAUCUGGAGGAAUACCGGUGGCGAAGGCGGCCCCCUGGACAAAGACUGACGCUCAGGUGCGAAAGCGUGGGGAGCAAACAGG